RNAcentral lists this long non-coding RNA (670 nucleotides) under Volvox carteri. RNAcentral's name for it is "long non-coding RNA (VCAR_LNC002934)". Lineage: Eukaryota; Viridiplantae; Chlorophyta; Chlorophyceae; Chlamydomonadales; Volvocaceae. The record is from RNAcentral.
GGGCCGUCAGGCCCAUCAUCCUUAUCAAUGUCCGAACCCUCACCCGAUCAUGCAUCCUCCUCACCCACGGCAUUCACAUCAUCAUGUAUACGUUUAGUAUAGAAAUACUCUUCUACGGGACCUCCGUCUUGAUCAGGCUGCAUGUGGAGCAAGGGCACAUGUUCUUUGGUGGCGGAGUUUUCCGCAGUUUCUUUCUGUGCCUUCGCUACUAUUUCUGUCUUCUUAAGGGCAGGUUUUGUUUUCAAUGGCUUCUGGGCUACGGGCAAGUAAUUGUUGAUGCCGCUAUAUAUGACAGCACAACGACGGCCCAGUAUACUUGAAUAACAUUUCUUUAUACUGGAGGACAGCACUGGGGUAUGGAUUACAGAGAAGGAACGGUUCGGGGAGUACGUUUUGAACCUUCGUUCAUCGUUACACCUAAUAAGCUUGCAGCUUUUACAGCAUCAGAACGUUUUGGAGCUGCUGAAAAAGUACCAAACAAAAAUGCAAAUUGUUGCGAUUUUGACGGGGAGGGUUUACGUUCCCCGUGUGAGGCCUUGCGCCGUUCGUUUUGGGGUCCCCGUUCCAUGACUCUCACGUGCACGGGGACCUCGCUAUAGCUCGGAUUACCGGUGGAUUGGCGCGGAUUAAAAAUAUACCUUAAUCCAUGACUUUUAAUCCAAGUGGAAAC